RNAcentral lists this ribosomal RNA (996 nucleotides) under uncultured bacterium. RNAcentral's name for it is "bacterial SSU rRNA". It matches the Rfam family "Bacterial small subunit ribosomal RNA", at positions 509 to 1504 of the family's 1533-position model. The record is from RNAcentral.
CAGCAGCCGCGGUAAUACGGAGGGUGCGAGCGUUAAUCGGAAUUACUGGGCGUAAAGCGCAUGCAGGUGGUUUGUUAAGUCAGAUGUGAAAGCCCGGGGCUCAACCUCGGAACCGCAUUUGAAACUGGCAGGCUAGAGUACUGUAGAGGGGGGUAGAAUUUCAGGUGUAGCGGUGAAAUGCGUAGAGAUCUGAAGGAAUACCGGUGGCGAAGGCGGCCCCCUGGACAGAUACUGACACUCAGAUGCGAAAGCGUGGGGAGCAAACAGGAUUAGAUACCCUGGUAGUCCACGCCGUAAACGAUGUCUACUUGGAGGUUGUGGCCUUGAGCCGUGGCUUUCGGAGCUAACGCGUUAAGUAGACCGCCUGGGGAGUACGGUCGCAAGAUUAAAACUCAAAUGAAUUGACGGGGGCCCGCACAAGCGGUGGAGCAUGUGGUUUAAUUCGAUGCAACGCGAAGAACCUUACCUACUCUUGACAUCCAGAGAACUUUCCAGAGAUGGAUUGGUGCCUUCGGGAACUCUGAGACAGGUGCUGCAUGGCUGUCGUCAGCUCGUGUUGUGAAAUGUUGGGUUAAGUCCCGCAACGAGCGCAACCCUUAUCCUUGUUUGCCAGCGAGUAAUGUCGGGAACUCCAGGGAGACUGCCGGUGAUAAACCGGAGGAAGGUGGGGACGACGUCAAGUCAUCAUGGCCCUUACGAGUAGGGCUACACACGUGCUACAAUGGCGCAUACAGAGGGCGGCCAACUCGCGAGAGUGAGCGAAUCCCAAAAAGUGCGUCGUAGUCCGGAUUGGAGUCUGCAACUCGACUCCAUGAAGUCGGAAUCGCUAGUAAUCGUAGAUCAGAAUGCUACGGUGAAUACGUUCCCGGGCCUUGUACACACCGCCCGUCACACCAUGGGAGUGGGCUGCAAAAGAAGUGGGUAGUUUAACCUUCGGGAGGACGCUCACCACUUUGUGGUUCAUGACUGGGGUGAAGUCGUAACAAGGUAACCGUA